RNAcentral lists this transfer RNA (77 nucleotides) under Halothiobacillus sp. 13-55-115. RNAcentral's name for it is "tRNA-Arg". It matches the Rfam family "tRNA". Rfam says of the family: Transfer RNA (tRNA) molecules are approximately 80 nucleotides in length. Their secondary structure includes four short double-helical elements and three loops (D, anti-codon, and T loops). RNAcentral also lists the same sequence under 1 other name. The record is from RNAcentral. Lineage: Bacteria; Pseudomonadati; Pseudomonadota; Gammaproteobacteria; Chromatiales; Halothiobacillaceae.
GUCUACGUAGCUCAGUUGGAUAGAGCGGCCCCCUCCUAAGGGGCAGGUCGGGGGUUCAAUUCCCUCCGUGGACACCA